AUACGUAGAGGGCGAGCGUUGUCCGGAAUGAUUGGGCGUAAAGGGCGCGUAGGCGGCCCGGUAAGUCUGGAGUGAAAGUCCUGUUUUUAAGAUGGGAAUUGCUUUGGAUACUGUCGGGCUUGAGUGCAGGAGAGGUAAGUGGAAUUCCCAGGGUAGCGGUGAAAUGCGUAGAGAUUGGGAGGAACACCAGUGGCGAAGGCGACUUACUGGACUGUAACUGACGCUGAGGCGCGAAAGUGUGGGGAGCAAACAGGAUUAGAUACCCUGGUAGUCCACACUGUAAACGAUGAAUGCUAGGUGUAGGGGGUAUCGACCCCUUCUGUGCCGCAGUCAACACAAUAAGCAUUCCGCCUGGGGAGUACGGCCGCAAGGUUGAAACUCAAAGGAAUUGACGGGG
RNAcentral lists this ribosomal RNA (397 nucleotides) under uncultured bacterium. Its description in RNAcentral is "partial 16S ribosomal RNA". It matches the Rfam family "Bacterial small subunit ribosomal RNA", at positions 523 to 918 of the family's 1533-position model. The record is from RNAcentral.